This is a non-coding RNA of Triticum urartu, 90 nucleotides long. The record is from Rfam. NCBI's taxonomy places the organism in Eukaryota, Viridiplantae, Streptophyta, Magnoliopsida, Poales, Poaceae.
GGCCUUGAUGAGCAUUGCUUACUUCUGACACCUCUUGUAUGAGACGGAACUUGCCCUGUUACCAUGAGCAGAUUAGCAACCCUCUGAGCU